GGCUCGGUAGUGGAUGGUCCGCAUCUGCUUUACAUUCUCGAUUCAAUCCACAGUAUGCAGACAUAGCCUGUUCGACUCGGGCCCGAGCCA
Non-coding RNA from Mycena leptocephala, 90 nucleotides. The record is from the annotation of a GenBank genome assembly. Lineage: Eukaryota; Fungi; Basidiomycota; Agaricomycetes; Agaricales; Mycenaceae.